Long non-coding RNA from Bombus pascuorum, 1268 nucleotides. RefSeq lists it as uncharacterized. NCBI's taxonomy places the organism in Eukaryota, Metazoa, Arthropoda, Insecta, Hymenoptera, Apidae. The record is from RefSeq and is a predicted model, not a curated record. The transcript has 2 exons.
UUGAAAUGUAAACAUUAGGGAUACGUGUUACGUGAAAUACUCUCAUGCUCUAUAAUUGAUACAAUUUUGAUUACAACAUUGUUAUAUAUUUAAGAGGAAAUGUUCGGUGGAAUUCUCUUAUACGAACGCGAACUCCUAUUAACAGCACGAAAAGUCACAGAUGGUAGGGAGAAAUAGGUGGCACUCCUAUCAUAUCAAUGACUUGGUUAUAUGAAUCAGCUUGUCCCCCGUCAAGUUCAAGUUUAUAUAUCGUCAUAUGAUUGAUGUACAGUAGAUUACGAUUUAAAUUGUAUACAUGGCAAAAAUGAACACUCAUUGUUCUUGAUAUUUGUAGACUUUGUAUAUAUACGGAUUCUCGUUUCGUACAAUUUGCAUUAUUAUCGAGGAAUUGUAGAGAGUCCACUUACAAAAUGUUCGAAGUCCAUCACGUUGAUGUUCAAAGUCCUUCCUUCACAGAAUUUCAGAGUUAAAGUCCACGUAUGAGAUCGUAAAUCGUCAUCGGGUGAGGCAAGGAAAGGCGCAAAUGCAAUAACACCGGUGAUGAUCUCACGUAUUUAAGACUAAAUUGUCCUAUGUGGAAUAGCCGCAAAAUUUCACGCGUAGUUUGCGCACUAUAUUUAAAUCGUGUCUUAAUGCGAUGUAAUAAUGCGAAUGACACGAUGCAAACUAUUAUCAUUUACAGGGUUAUGAAUAUUGAGUCAGUGAAGGUAUGGAGCAAACAUACAUCCUUUAUUAUUCGCUACAUCAUUGCGAUUUUGUCAUUGAACUUCCGAGAUCAAACCGAGGGCAUAGUUGAUUGAAUCAACUUGAAAUACGUUCGAGAGGAGUUUAAAGAGGCAGUCAAGUGAAUAGAAGUUGCUCGAGCAUUAUGAGACCCAAUAACGGUGUGCGUUGAGAGAAAUACUUGGCUGCCCGAGGCAGAAGUGGAAUAAACACACUAGAUCUACUUAGAACAACGGUCAACCUUUGCCAACAACAAGCGAAUCGAAGAAAUGUUUCCAAACAGUUCAACAGGUUUGACACCGCUGAGACGCUGGUCCGAGGAUUGGCACGCACUGUAUCCUUCAACCUCGUUAAAGAAUUGCUAAUUCGUACUUCGAAUUCAAUGACCUUGAACAUGUUUCGAAUAGAUCAUAAGCCGCACCAUAUCUUAUACAAAUAGGGCAUGUCAAAAUGAUUAAAAAAUAUGUGUAGAAUUAUGAAUAUUGUAAGAUUGAUGAGAAAACCUUGGCAUCGAGUGAUGAAAUUAUAGCGUGAUGAUAUAGAUA